UACGUAGGUGGCACGCGUUGUCCGGAUUUACUGGGCGUAAAGAGCUCGCCGGCGGUCGUUCAAGUCGCGUGUGAAAGCCCCCGGCUCAACUGGGGAGGGUCACGCGAUACUGAUCGACUCGAAGGCAGGAGAGGGAAGUGGAAUUCCCGGUGUAGUGGUGAAAUGCGUAGAUAUCGGGAGGAACACCAGUGGCGAAGGCGACUUCCUGGCCUGUUCUUGACGCUGAGGCGCGAAAGCUAGGGGAGCAAACGGG
This 253-nucleotide ribosomal RNA is filed under the name uncultured bacterium. RNAcentral's name for it is "partial 16S ribosomal RNA". It matches the Rfam family "Bacterial small subunit ribosomal RNA", at positions 524 to 776 of the family's 1533-position model. The record is from RNAcentral.